AUUGAACGCUGGCGGAAUGCUUUACACAUGCAAGUCGAACGGUAGAGGGGGCAACCCCUCGAGAGUGGCGAACGGGGGAGUAAUAUAUCGGAACGUGCCCAGUCGGGGGGGAUAACGUAGCGAAAGUUACGCUAAUACCGCAUACGAUCUAAGGAUGAAAGCGGGGGAUCGGAAGACCUCGCGCGAUUGGAGCGGCAGAUAUCAGAUUAGGUAGUUGGUGGGGUAAAGGCUCAACAAGCCAACGAUCUGUAGCUGGUCUGAGAGGACGAACAGCCACACUGGAACUGAGACACGGUCCAGACUCCUACGGGAGGCAGCAGUGGGGAAUUUUGGACAAUGGACGCAAGUCUGAUCCAGCCAUUCCGCGUGUAGGAUGAAGGCCCUCGGGUUGUAAACUGCUUUUGUACGGAACGAAAAGGUCUCUCUUAAUACGGGGGGCUCAUGACGGUACCGUAAGAAUAAGCACCGGCUAACUACGUGCCAGCAGCCGCCGUAA
Molecule: ribosomal RNA, 496 nt
Filed under: uncultured bacterium
Lineage: Bacteria
Description: partial 16S ribosomal RNA
Rfam family: Bacterial small subunit ribosomal RNA
Source: RNAcentral